CUGCUCAAUGAUAUAAAUUAAAUAGCUGCAGUAUUUUAACUGUACAAAGGUAGCAUAAUCAUUUGUCUUUUUAUUAAAGUCUGGAAUGAAUGAUUAAAUGAAAAAAUUUCUGUUUCAAAUUUAAAAUUUAAAAUUUAAAUUAUUAAGUUAAAAUUCUUAAUUUUUAUUAAAAGACGAGAAGACCCUAUAGAAUUUUAUAUAAUUAAAAUUAAAUUAUUUAUAUAAAUUUAUUUAAUUUAUUUAAAAUAUAUUUAAUUGGGGAAAUUUAAAAAUUUAAUUAAAUUUUUAAAUUAAUUUACAUAAAUUUAUGAAUAAAUUUUAUUUAAUAAAAAUUAAAUUUAAAUUAAAUUACCUUAGGGAUAACAGCGUUAUUUUAUUCAAUAGUUCAUAUUGAUAAAAAAGAUUGCGACCUCGAUGUUGAAUUAAGAUAAAAUUUUAAUGAAGAAAUUAUUAAUUU
RNAcentral lists this ribosomal RNA (457 nucleotides) under Aphytis melinus. RNAcentral describes it as "partial 16S rRNA". Lineage: Eukaryota; Metazoa; Arthropoda; Insecta; Hymenoptera; Aphelinidae. The record is from RNAcentral.